This 511-nucleotide ribosomal RNA is filed under the name Colletotrichum gloeosporioides. RNAcentral's name for it is "eukaryotic LSU rRNA". The stretch from base 180 to 333 matches the Rfam family "5.8S ribosomal RNA". Lineage: Eukaryota; Fungi; Ascomycota; Sordariomycetes; Glomerellales; Glomerellaceae. The record is from RNAcentral.
AUCAUUACUGAGUUUACGCUCUACAACCCUUUGUGAACAUACCUAUAACUGUUGCUUCGGCGGGUAGGGUCCCCGUGACCCUCCCGGCCUCCCGCCCCCGGGCGGGUCGGCGCCCGCCGGAGGAUAACCAAACUCUGAUUUAACGACGUUUCUUCUGAGUGGUACAAGCAAAUAAUCAAAACUUUUAACAACGGAUCUCUUGGUUCUGGCAUCGAUGAAGAACGCAGCGAAAUGCGAUAAGUAAUGUGAAUUGCAGAAUUCAGUGAAUCAUCGAAUCUUUGAACGCACAUUGCGCCCGCCAGCAUUCUGGCGGGCAUGCCUGUUCGAGCGUCAUUUCAACCCUCAAGCUCUGCUUGGUGUUGGGGCCCUACGGCUGACGUAGGCCCUCAAAGGUAGUGGCGGACCCUCCCGGAGCCUCCUUUGCGUAGUAACUUUACGUCUCGCACUGGGAUCCGGAGGGACUCUUGCCGUAAAACCCCCAAUUUUCCAAAGGUUGACCUCGGAUCAGGUA